RNAcentral lists this transfer RNA (64 nucleotides) under Acidithiobacillus ferrooxidans ATCC 23270. Its description in RNAcentral is "tRNA-Val (AAC) (tRNA-Val-AAC-1-1)". Lineage: Bacteria; Pseudomonadati; Pseudomonadota; Acidithiobacillia; Acidithiobacillales; Acidithiobacillaceae. RNAcentral also lists the same sequence under 1 other name. The record is from RNAcentral.
GUGGGUAAGGAAAACCGGCAGGGGUUAACGCCCCUCGUGAGUUCGAAUCUCACCGCCUCCGCCA